CAAAAACAUUGCUUUUUGUAUCAAAUAAAAAGUAAGUCCUGCCCAGUGAUAUUUUUUUCAACGGCCGCGGUAUCCUAACCGUGCAAAGGUAGCAUAAUCACUUGCCCAUCAAUUGUGGGCUAGAAUGAACGGAUAAACGAAAUAAUUUCUGUCUCAGUUAGAAAACUAAAAAUUAUUAUCUAGUCGAAGAACUCUAGAUAUAAUCGAAGGACAAGAAGACCCUAUAGAGCUUCAUUUAAUUUUAAAAUUAAAUACUUAAUAUAAAUUCGGUUGGGGCGACCUGGGAUAUUAUAAAUCAUCCCAAAAACAAAGAUAAAUUAAUCAAUUACAAGAUCCUUAUACAAGAUCAUAAAAACAAGCUACCUUAGGGAUAACAGGCUAAUCCUAUUAAAGAGUCCUUAUCAAUAAUAGGGGUUGGCACCUCGAUGUUGGCUUAGGAAUUUACAGUGGCGCAAAAGUCACUAUACAAUGGUUUGUUCAACCAAUAAUAUCCUACGUGAUCUGA
Molecule: ribosomal RNA, 505 nt
Filed under: Glossodrilus sp. 862
Lineage: Eukaryota; Metazoa; Annelida; Clitellata; Crassiclitellata; Glossoscolecidae
Description: partial 16S ribosomal RNA
Rfam family: Bacterial large subunit ribosomal RNA
Source: RNAcentral